This 249-nucleotide unclassified non-coding RNA is filed under the name uncultured Bacteroidia bacterium. RNAcentral's name for it is "contains 16S-23S intergenic spacer region". It matches the Rfam family "Bacterial small subunit ribosomal RNA", at positions 951 to 1197 of the family's 1533-position model. Lineage: Bacteria; Pseudomonadati; Bacteroidota; Bacteroidia. The record is from RNAcentral.
UCACUGCUUACGCGAGGAACCUUACCUGGGCUAGAAUGCUUUGUGACCGUCCCGGAAACGGGACUUCCCUUUACGGGGCACAUUGCAAGGUGCUGCAUGGCUGUCGUCAGCUCGUGCCGUGAGGUGUUGGGUUAAGUCCCGCAACGAGCGCAACCCUCAUCUUUAGUUGCCAGCGGUUCGGCCGGGGACUCUAAAGAAACUGCCUGCGUAAGCAGUGAGGAAGGUGGGGAUGACGUUUCUAGGAGGGUG